GACGAACGCUGGCGGCGUGCUUAACACAUGCAAGUCGAACGGAAAGGCCCAGCUUGCUGGGUGCUCGAGUGGCGAACGGGUGAGUAACACAUGGGUGAUCUGCCCCUAACUUCGGGAUAAGCUUGGGAAACUGGGUCUAAUACCGGAUAGGACAAUCGUUUAGUGUCGGUUGUGGAAAGUUUUUUCGGUUAGGGAUGAGCCCGCGGCCUAUCAGCUUGUUGGUGGGGUAAUGGCCUACCAAGGCGUCGACGGGUAGCCGGCCUGAGAGGGUGGACGGCCACAUUGGGACUGAGAUACGGCCCAGACUCCUACGGGAGGCAGCAGUGGGGAAUAUUGCACAAUGGGCGCAAGCCUGAUGCAGCGACGCCGCGUGGGGGAUGACGGCCUUCGGGUUGUAAACCUCUUUCGACAGGGACGAAGCUUUGGUGACGGUACCUGUAUAAGAAGCACCGGCUAACUACGUG
RNAcentral lists this ribosomal RNA (464 nucleotides) under uncultured bacterium. Its description in RNAcentral is "partial 16S ribosomal RNA". It matches the Rfam family "Bacterial small subunit ribosomal RNA", at positions 28 to 507 of the family's 1533-position model. The record is from RNAcentral.